UCUGUUGAGUGCACUCGAUAGAACACGUAUUGGUGCAGUGAGCACUCAAGCGGGUCUUUUAUUUGGGUAAGCGGUGGUGAAGACUGCUCUUUCGUAGGUGUUGCGUGUUUGAUCCUCGCCACUCUCUGUAGUUUUGCAGUGUCACAUAUUGGCCAGUAGUGCGCCUCUUCUCUGAGGGGUUCGUAUCGCAAGGGUUUGCUCGCUGUUCGCGCUUUCCGGUUUUGCGGCUGCUCGUUUGGCGUGUGAGCUCUGUUGCUCAGCUCUGGAGGUGGUACACAAGGGCACCCUCAUAGCUGUGUCUCUCCGUUUGUGCAGUCGCCGCGUGUGCCCUACCGUGGCGCUGCCAGCCAGAACAGGUGGCGCGUACCUCACGGGCAGUCACGCAUUCGAUAGAAAGGCCUGUACCGAGAGGAAGUGUUCUCAAGCAAGGCUCACAUCGACGCGAAUCGGAUCUUACACAGCACACAAGCGGGCAGAGGUGCAGCGGACGGCAAUGGCGCAAGCGGUGCCACAUAACAGCCGGAGUCAUGUUGAAGCCUUGCAUGACCCCGUCGCACCGCAUUUCGAGCUUGUCUCAUACCCCCUCUCUGAUAGCCAGGACGCUAUCGAGGAUGCCGAUUGCCAGGGUGGCGUUUUGGCGGUGCUGCGCCGCAGUGGGCGGCUGGAGGUGCGCGACGCUGAGGAAGACCGGGUGCUGCUCCGCACAGUCGUGCGUAACCCUCACAAGGUCUUUGUGCAUCCCCAGGGCACCUACGUUGUGGUCACUGCCUCUGACGGUGAGGUGAGCGUGCAGAACACGUUCGACGCACGCAUGUGCGCCACCGCUCAGCUACAAGCGACGGACGUUCUCGGUACCGUUGUGCAAGGGUCUCAGGAUGUCGUCGUCGGUGAGUGCGUGGGUUGGCUCCCACAGGACAGCUAUGGGGUAGCACCCGCCGACUACCCGGAAGCGUCGGCAGCCCGUGCCAUCUCUGCUUCCACGACGCAAGGCUCGUCAACAGCUGGCGCGGCCGAGUGGAGCUACUUGAUGGGGGUGAACAAGGGCAGUGCCAUCUUUGCUCUGCAUGUGUGGGUCAGCAGCAGUAGCCCCAACCGGCUGAAGAUGCGAGCUGUGCUGGCUUGGUCGCUGCCGUCUCCAGCAAGCUGUGCCUUCCCGAUCCGCUCCAUCGCGUUCGCGGCGACGGGGGCCGGCGGCUGCGUUCUUCUCAUUUCGACAGCCAUCAAUCUGCACGAAGCACACAGCAGCAGCAUUGCCGCUCCGGCGCCUUUGUUUCACGCACUCCGUUCGGGCACCGUCAAGCUGCGCACGCAGACGGUGCCCCUGUACGCAGGCUCCGCCUCGGCGCCGGUGGCGAACGGGCGGGUGCUUCUCUACCGUGGUUCGUAUGCCGCCGCGCCGCAGUCGUACGUGUGGAAUAGCGCCGCUGGUGUUGUUCAUGGACUGUUUGACCGCGACGUCUCGACUGACAUGGUAGACGAAAACGAGCGGCUGCUCUUUCGAACUUCGUCCGUCCCCGAGACAUCCGUGCCCUCCGUGGGUGAGGCGGGGGCGCGCGUGAAUGAGCAGUCGUUCUCGCUCGCUAAAGUCGCAGACAGCACGGACGCGGCCGGGGCUGGAGUGGACAGGGCCGCGCUGCCGCCGUCGGCCGUCCCCAUCGCAGUGGCCCCGACAGCGUUUCACAUGAUUGUGCUCUACCCGCAGCGGUGCAUCGUGCUACACCAACCUCCGGGAGCGUCGUGGCGCAGUCCUGCCGAUUGCGGCGGCGCGGUGGAGCGCUUCACACCGCCGCUGCCUGCUGAAGUGGCACAGCGGAUCCGCUUCGACCCGUUCCGGGCAUCGCCGCCGCCGUCCUCUGAGCUGUGCGGCGUCAUCCACGACGCCGAGGCGCGCCGAUUUUUCCUCUUCAGCCGCACGCAUCUCUGGGAAGUUCUCAUCGAGGACGAGGCGCACCAGCAGUGGCGCCUCUUUCUCGAGCGCGGACGUGAUGCGCAGGUGCCCUUGGCGGUGCGCAAGCGCUACAUGGAUGCGGCGUGCCGCCUUGCCUUCUACUCGGACACUCAGCGCAACCUCUGUCUGUUUCACUGCGGCCAGUUCUUCCUCGACUGCGGAGCCACUCGCCACGCGAUUGCCCAGUUCGCCAAGUGUGACUGGUUCGAGGACAUCUACGCGCUGUUGACGACAUACCGGAACACGAACGUGCGCACCGCGUUUGUGGAGGCUCGCUUCCAGUUUCUGCUGUCGCAUCUCGCUUCGCUGGACGACUGGGCGCCGCAGCUGACGAGCAUGUUUGUGAUUCUCAUGCUCGCGAAACUCGACCAGAUCGCGCGCACUGCCCCAGCGUCCGCAGCCGCUGAGGCGGAUUUUCACAAGUUCCUGCUGAGCACAGUGGAGCAGUGCGGCGUCUUCCUGAAGGAGAAGGCGGUGUAUGAGCUGGUGUUGCGCCUGCUGGAGGAACAGGGCCGGCCCGAGAGCGCGUUGAUAUUCGCCAAGGCAAUGCAACACACACGCUACGUUGUCGCUUCCCACAUCGUUCAGCAGCAGUUUGACGAGGCUGUCAAGGCCCUCGGCGCGUGUCACGGAUCUGUUGCCCGUUUGCAGCCCUGGUAUGAGUUUACGUCCGUACUGAUCCAGCAUCGACCGGUGGCCCUGACGACGGCGCUGUUGCGUGCGCUCACUAAGGAAGCGCGGGCGGGCCGGGUGCUUCCUCUGCAGAUGGAGCGGCUAAUGCCGUCGUUUGUGCGCUAUGAUGUCUCCAUGAACGAGGUGGCCGACAACACGGAGCAUCAGGUGGUGGUGCUGCUCGAUCAGUGCAUUCACCGUUACGACUGCUCUUCGGGUGCAGUGCAUAACUACUACGUCCGCCUGCUUGCGCAGACGCACGAUGCCGUUCGCCUCGACGACUUUAUCAGCACCUCACUCUUCGUUGACACGGGGUACGCACUGCGCAUGUGCCUGAAGCACGGCUGCACGACCGCUGCAGUGGCCCUAUACAAGCACAUGCAUCUCUACCGCGACGCCGUCACUACCGCCCUGUACGCGCCUCACGAACGGCGCAACGGCGGCAGCGGCAGCGCUGACGAGGACGCGAGCGUGGCCGCGCGGUCAGAGGACAAGGAUGUGCUGCCGGGGCUUGUCGCCGCCGAAGACACGCUGCGCGGACUUGUCGGGAAAGUCGGCAACGACGAGCUUCGCCAACUGUGGAUGCUUACUGCGGAGCAGGCGCUCGCCAGCCAUAACGUUGCCGCGGCCCUCGCGGUCGUGCAGGAAUCCGGCGGCGUUCUCCGCACUGAGGAUGUCCUCCGUAAGAUCGAGGACGUGAAUCUCAUCGACGAUUUUCGGGACGUCAUCUGCGAGUACUUCGACGCCUACGCGGAUCAGAAGCGGCAACUUAGCCGAACGCAGGACGAGGUGUACCAGACCGCCGAGGACGUGAAGAAGGACCUGCGGCAGGCGCGCGAACAGUUUGGAUAUAUCACGGCGAGCCAGCGCUGCCCACUCUGCCACCGCACACUGCUGCAGAGCAGCACGCCGUACUUUGUGUACCCCAACUGCGGUCACGUCGUGCACGAGGCCUGCGCUGUGUCGCGGCUGGAGUCUAUGGGUGGCCUCGAGAGGUUCCUGGCUGACGAGGGCAUUGCGCCGCACGUACUCGACGGCAUCAGCGACGUUCACCAGCUCGCGCAGCAGGACUGUGUGCUGUGCGGCGAGGCUGUUGUUGUGGAGGUCGACAUCCCGUUGUUUCGCAAGGACGCUUCUUGGGAUUUAUAGUCAAUCAAAUUUUUUUCCGCCCUUCGCCGCGUGCGGGGCGGCUUUUUGCGGGCCCCGCGCGCCCUUUUUUUCGCCUCCAG
This 3849-nucleotide unclassified non-coding RNA is filed under the name Leishmania donovani. Its description in RNAcentral is "gene:LdHU3.27.1200(CDS-product:Pep3/Vps18/deep_or ange_family/Region_in_Clathrin_and_VPS/Vacuolar_sorting_pro tein_39_domain_2_putative)". Lineage: Eukaryota; Euglenozoa; Kinetoplastea; Trypanosomatida; Trypanosomatidae. The record is from RNAcentral.